GAAGGAACAACUUCAUGAUGUUUUGCCAGCUGGUCCUUUAUUUGGAGUAUGUACAACAUUGGAUCAGGGAAAAGCUGUUUCAACUUUUCUUAAUGCCAUUUUGGACAAGGCAUUUCAAAGCACUAUCGCGUUGAUUUCUUCUCGUGGGCGAGGUAAAUCUGCCGCUUUGGGUUUGGCAAUUGCAGGUGCUAUAGCUGCAGGGUAUUCGCGCAUUUUUGUUACUGCUCCUUCCCCCGAAAACAUGAAAUCACUGUUUGACUUCAUUUGUAAGGGACUGCGUUCAUUGAAUUUUGAGGAGCAUUUGCAUUAUGAUCUGGUCAGAAGUACAGAUUUGGAGUUUCGAAAGACAAUUACGCAAAUAAAUGUUUACAAGGAACACAGCCAAAUAGUUCAGUAUAUCCAGCCUCAUGACCAUGUAAAGCUCUCCCAAGCUGAACUUCUGGUUAUUGAUGAAGCAGCAGCUAUU
This 466-nucleotide unclassified non-coding RNA is filed under the name Hevea brasiliensis (rubber tree). Lineage: Eukaryota; Viridiplantae; Streptophyta; Magnoliopsida; Malpighiales; Euphorbiaceae. The record is from RNAcentral.